GAUGAACGCUGGCGGCGUGCUUAACACAUGCAAGUCGAACGGAAAGGCCUCUGCUUGCAGGGGUACUCGAGUGGCGAACGGGUGAGUAACACGUGGGUGAUCUGCCCUGCACUUCGGGAUAAGCCUGGGAAACUGGGUCUAAUACCGGAUAGGACAAUGGUUUGGAUGCUGUUGUGGAAAGUUUUUCGGUGUGGGAUGAGCUCGCGGCCUAUCAGCUUGUUGGUGGGGUAAUGGCCUACCAAGGCGUCGACGGGUAGCCGGCCUGAGAGGGUGUACGGCCAGAUUGGGACUGAGAUACGGCCCAGACUCCUAAGGGAGGGAGCAGUGGGGAAUAUUGGACAAUGGGCGCAAGCCUGAUGGAGCGACGCCGCGUGGGGGAUGACGGCCUUCGGGUUGUAAACUCCUUUCGCUAGGGACGAAGCGUUUUUGUGACGGUACCUGGAGAAGAAGCACCGGCUAACUACGUG
Molecule: ribosomal RNA, 467 nt
Filed under: uncultured bacterium
Lineage: Bacteria
Description: partial 16S ribosomal RNA
Rfam family: Bacterial small subunit ribosomal RNA
Source: RNAcentral